This 1148-nucleotide small RNA is filed under the name uncultured cyanobacterium. RNAcentral's name for it is "bacterial SSU rRNA". The stretch from base 1 to 315 matches the Rfam family "Bacterial small subunit ribosomal RNA", at positions 1221 to 1533 of the family's 1533-position model. Lineage: Bacteria; Bacillati; Cyanobacteriota. The record is from RNAcentral.
CGUACUACAAUGCUACGGACAAAGGGCAGCAAACUCGCGAGAGCUAGCAAAUCCCAUAAACCGUGGCUCAGUUCAGAUCGUAGGCUGCAACUCGCCUACGUGAAGGAGGAAUCGCUAGUAAUCGCAGGUCAGCAUACUGCGGUGAAUACGUUCCCGGGCCUUGUACACACCGCCCGUCACACCAUGGAAGUUGGCCAUGCCCGAAGUCGUUACUUCAACCCGCAAGGGAGGAGGAUGCCGAAGGUGGGGCUGAUGACUGGGGUGAAGUCGUAACAAGGUAGCCGUACCGGAAGGUGCGGCUGGAUCACCUCCUAACAGGGAUAUUAAACAUUGAAUGAUGAUCAUCAAUUUUGUAUGGUCCAUUUAACUGUUCAUCUCUAGGUCGAUCGGUACCUCAAUGACCCUUCAAUUUUAAGUAAUCUAUUUAUUUAGUUCACUUAAUUAUUAAUGUGGUUAUCUCGGUCCUUAAGCUUGUCUAGGUCACACCCCAUAGCUGCUAAGCUAUGGAGAUGGGCCCGAAAGGGUUCCUGGGCCAUUAGCUCAGGUGGUUAGAGCGCACCCCUGAUAAGGGUGAGGUCCCUGGUUCAAGUCCAGGAUGGCCCAUUCAACAUCCCCAGGGAUGAUUGGGGGUUUAGCUCAGUUGGUAGAGCGCCUGCUUUGCAAGCAGGAUGUCAGCGGUUCGAGUCCGCUAACCUCCAUCGAACAUUUGUGAUCUAGAAGGUAAUGGUGAAACCAGCCUCGUCUGAUUCUUCAAUCAUUAAGUCCAUGUUUUGGCCUUAUUUGAGAAGUUCAAACGAUGCUGGGCUCAGCAAUGGGGUUCAGCAAAGAACCUUGACAACUGCAUAGGUGAAUCUGGAAAUAAGCAUCUAACAGAUGACCCAGAAGAACACAUUGUAAACGUAAGUUUGCUUUUAUUUUCUAAUGGAUCAAACAAUUCUGUAGAAAGCCGAGAUCUAGCUUUAUUGGGGAAAUUCUUCUUUCACGAGGGGAGUGAAACUAAUUUAGUUAGAUAAUAAAAUGGUCAAGUUACAAAGGGCUCACGGUGGAUACCUUGGCACACAGAGGCGAUGAAGGACGUGGUUACCUGCGAUAAGUCUCGGGGAGCUGGAAACACGCUUUGAUCCGGGAAUUUCCGAAUGGGGCAACCC